Molecule: long non-coding RNA, 570 nt
Organism: Planococcus citri (citrus mealybug)
Lineage: Eukaryota; Metazoa; Arthropoda; Insecta; Hemiptera; Pseudococcidae
Exons: 2
Source: RefSeq, a predicted model, not a curated record
AAUUGAGAACUUAUUCUUUGAAAGAAGAAGAAGAAAAAAAUAAAUUCUUGAUAAAACUCAUUAUCUCUUUCAUGGUCGAUUUAUAGGUAGGUAUAAGUACACGCGAGUAAGACAGUAUAAAGAAUUACUUUCAUUCAACCACUCGUAAAGCUCAAGAUAAGUAUCUAAUUAGUCAUUCUGUUGUUUUAAACUUAGAAGUUACUCCGUUUCGUAAAUUAAUUUUUUUUGUGGCUGUGCAAACAUGAUUCCUGCAGCAGCAGUAGUGGGAUUUUUUGGAUUAAUUUUGAUGCUUAGAAUGUUCAUUUCGAAAUUGUGACAACACCCUCAAGGUUCCGAAGUUUUCACAGGUUUCAAAAGUCUGCCCAGAUCGAGGAAAUGAUUCAAAAAUCGAAGAUGAACCACCGAAAUAACUUUUUUACAUUAACCUAUGAAAUCAAAUUAGGUAUAUUUUUUAAUGAGACAAUAUUGUCGCAAUGUAUAUUAUACGUUAUUUAAUUUUAUAGAGUAAUGAGCACAGUGUAGUCUCAUGACUCUUACAUAACAUGUUGAAAAAACCAUCUCUUAAUUAAU